RNAcentral lists this transfer RNA (70 nucleotides) under Mycobacterium simulans. RNAcentral's name for it is "tRNA-Ala". Lineage: Bacteria; Bacillati; Actinomycetota; Actinomycetes; Mycobacteriales; Mycobacteriaceae. The record is from RNAcentral.
CGGUGGCGCGGGCGGCGCGGGCGGCGCCGGUGGCACCGGCGGGGCCGGGUUCAACCCCGGCACCAUCGGC